This 846-nucleotide ribosomal RNA is filed under the name Triticum aestivum (bread wheat). RNAcentral's name for it is "partial small subunit ribosomal RNA". Lineage: Eukaryota; Viridiplantae; Streptophyta; Magnoliopsida; Poales; Poaceae. The record is from RNAcentral.
AUGUUUGAGACAGAAGCAAAAAAACUGAUUAAGCAAUCUGCAAGAUUCUUGAUAGAUAGGGAUGAUUAUGAUAUCCAUGAGCAGGCAGAAAAAAUUCAGAAAAUAUGUGGGCAGAGAUUGAUUUUUCAGUUCAGACUGAAUGACUAUAAUUUCAAGUAUGGUUACCAAGAUUACACUGUUCAUAGAAUAUUUUUUAUAGAUCCUGAAGAAGAUUCAGCAGUACAACAUGCUAAUGUUGAACAGAACCCUACGAAGGGCACUAAAAAGGCUAGGACUAGGAACACAUGUCGCGUUGUACAUUCUGAUGAAGAAUCAGAAGAGGAUAGCCAGGAGAAAGAUGAAUGCAAAUUCAAGGAAUCUAGCCUCAAAAUAAAGAGUACAAUAAGCAUUAUUGAAGACGGAGAUUUAGAAAAAGAUGGAACUUUGAAUUAUUCAAAGACCAGCAUAAGGCUUACUGCUGUUGAUAAGGGAUCUAAGAAGAAAGGAAUUCAGAAUGAUAACCAUGAGCAAGUGAAAAAAUUAUCACUUCCAAAAAAUAUAAAGCAAGAACCAGAGGAUGAUGAACUCACUAUUGACCAGAUUAAAAGGGGUAGGAGACGGAGCACAGUUUGUGUUGCACAUCUUGACGAUGAAUCGAAAGCUAAAGCUAGUCAGGAAAUAAACAAAUCCAAAUCUAUAGAAUCAAGCCCCAAGAGGAAGUGUGUCGUAACACGCAAAUGCGUCGGUGUUGAUCAGGAGAACAAUGAUUCAAAGCCUAGGACAAGGCUUAGUUGUGUCGUGAUAAAAAAUCACAGAAACAAAGGCAUUCAGAAGUCUGGUGUAUUAAGGACUCGACAGACAAGUCGC